Molecule: ribosomal RNA, 254 nt
Filed under: uncultured bacterium
Lineage: Bacteria
Description: partial 16S ribosomal RNA
Rfam family: Bacterial small subunit ribosomal RNA
Source: RNAcentral
UACGUAGGGUGCGAGCGUUAAUCGGAAUUACUGGGCGUAAAGCGUGCGCAGGCGGUUAUUUAAGUCAGGUGUGAAAGCCCUGGGCUUAACCUAGGAAUUGCGCUUGGGACUGGAUAGCUUGGAGUGCGGCAGAGGGAGGUGGAAUUCCACGUGUAGCAGUGAAAUGCGUAGAGAUGUGGAGGAACACCGAUGGCGAAGGCAGCCUCCUGGGCCAGCACUGACGCUCAUGCACGAAAGCGUGGGGAGCAAACAGG